AUGCCUCAACAUCAUAAAGAGUUAAAGAAUCAGAUUUACCAUACAUUUGCAUCACGAAGAAGUGUAUUCCUUAGGAAAGUCAUCCAAGAUAGCAUCAAUUUGAGUUUCUUCAGAGAUUAUAUCACCCACUGCAAGCAAAGAAUCAUCAAUGGACUUGAUCUUGAGAACAUACUCCGAUACUGUUCGAUUCGCCUUCUUUGUAGUCUUGAGUUCAUAACGCAGUUGUCGCACUUUAGCCUCCAUCAUCGCAUUAAAAUGCUUGGGGAUUUUGUCCCUUACUUCAAAUGA
Non-coding RNA from Vicia faba (fava bean), 288 nucleotides. The record is from the annotation of a GenBank genome assembly. Lineage: Eukaryota; Viridiplantae; Streptophyta; Magnoliopsida; Fabales; Fabaceae.